GAUGAACGCUGGCGGCGUGCUUAUCACAUGCAAGUCGAACGAUGACCCAGAGCUUGCUCUGGUGAUUAGUGGCGAACGGGUGAGUAACACGUGAGUAACCUGCCCUUGACUCUGGGAUAAGCACUGGAAACGGUGUCUAAUACCGGAUACGACCUUCAGCCGCAUGGCUAGGGGGUGGAAAGAAUUUCGGUCAAGGAUGGACUCGCGGCCUAUCAGCUUGUUGGUGAGGUAAUGGCUCACCAAGGCGACGACGGGUAGCCGGCCUGAGAGGGUGACCGGCCACACUGGGACUGAGACACGGCCCAGACUCCUACGGGAGGCAGCAGUGGGGAAUAUUGCACAAUGGGCGCGAGCCUGAUGCAGCAACGCCGCGUGAGGGACGACGGCCUUCGGGUUGUAAGCCUCUUUUAGUAGGGAAGAAGCGAAAGUGACGGUACCUGCAGAAAAAGCACCGGCUAACUACGUGCCAGCAGCCGCGGUAAUACGUAGGGUGCAAGCGUUAUCCGGAAUUAUUGGGCGUAAAGAGCUCGUAGGCGGUUUGUCGCGUCUGCUGUGAAAACUGGAGGCUCAACCUCCAGCCUGCAGUGGGUACGGGCAGACUAGAGUGCGGUAGGGGAGAUUGGAAUUCCUGGUGUAGCGGUGGAAUGCGCAGAUAUCAGGAGGAACACCGAUGGCGAAGGCAGAUCUCCGGGCCGUAACUGACGCUGAGGAGCGAAAGCAUGGGGAGCGAACAGGAUUAGAUACCCUGGUAGUCCAUGCCGUAAACGUUGGGAACUAGAUGUAGGGGCCAUUCCACGGUUUCUGUGUCGCAGCUAACGCAUUAAGUUCCCCGCCUGGGGAGUACGGCCGCAAGGCUAAAACUCAAAGGAAUUGACGGGGGCCCGCACAAGCGGCGGAGCAUGCGGAUUAAUUCGAUGCAACGCGAAGAACCUUACCAAGGCUUGACAUAUACGAGAACGGGCUAGAAAUAGUCAACUCUUUGGACACUCGUAAACAGGUGGUGCAUGGUUGUCGUCAGCUCGUGUCGUGAGAUGUUGGGUUAAGUCCCGCAACGAGCGCAACCCUCGUUCUAUGUUGCCAGCACGUAAUGGUGGGAACUCAUAGGAGACUGCCGGGGUCAACUCGGAGGAAGGUGGGGAUGACGUCAAAUCAUCAUGCCCCUUAUGUCUUGGGCUUCACGCAUGCUACAAUGGCCGAUACAAAGGGCUGCAAUACCGUAAGGUGGAGCGAAUCCCAAAAAGUCGGUCUCAGUUCGGAUUGAGGUCUGCAACUCGACCUCAUGAAGCCGGAGUCGCUAGUAAUCGCAGAUCAGCAACGCUGCGGUGAAUACGUUCCCGGGCCU
Molecule: ribosomal RNA, 1342 nt
Filed under: uncultured bacterium
Lineage: Bacteria
Description: 16S ribosomal RNA
Rfam family: Bacterial small subunit ribosomal RNA
Source: RNAcentral